Small nucleolar RNA from Eublepharis macularius, 136 nucleotides. RefSeq annotates it as small nucleolar RNA SNORA51. NCBI's taxonomy places the organism in Eukaryota, Metazoa, Chordata, Lepidosauria, Squamata, Eublepharidae. The transcript has a single exon. The record is from RefSeq and is a predicted model, not a curated record.
CCUCUCUCAGUGCUUACCGCAGGCAGCGAGUUGUGACUGCUGACUGCACAGGAAUGAGAGAUACAGAAUCCCACCGUCCUGCAUACACCACAGCAGGGUUGCUGGUUACCCAGGCUGUAUUGUUAGCAGGGCACAG